AUUCUUGGUCAUUUAGAGGAAGUAAAAGUCGUAACAAGGUUUCCGUAGGUGAACCUGCGGAAGGAUCAUUAUUGAUUGCGAAUUGUUGUCUCCAGUGCUGGCCCGGUCACUCUGGCAAGUGCACGUAGACAGCUUUCAUCCAAUACCCUUGUGAACCUUUGGCCUCUUGCUAGCUUCGGCCAGCAGAGGAUUUUUACACCCACUCGAAUGUAAUGAAAUUACUGUUGUGCACAAGCACUAAUAUACAACUUUCAACAACGGAUCUCUUGGCUCUCGCAUCGAUGAAGAACGCAGCGAAAUGCGAUAAGUAAUGUGAAUUGCAGAAUUCAGUGAAUCAUCGAAUCUUUGAACGCACCUUGCACCCUUUGGUAUUCCGAAGGGUAUGCUCGUUUGAGUGUCAUUGUACUCUCACACUUCCGAUCGUUGGAUCGGGAGCGGUGGACUUGGGUGUUGCUGCUUUACUGUGGCUCACCUUAAAUGCAUUAGUGCAACUUUCGAUUGGACAUAGUACGGCGUGAUAAGUGUCUUCGCCGGCACCUCACAGAGGGUGGCCGAUCGGGAGCUCUGUGCUUCAAACCGUCUUCGGACAAUAACUGACAACUUGACCUCAAAUCGAGUAGGACUACCCGCUGAACUUAAGCAUAUCAAUAAGCGGAGGAAAUCG
Molecule: ribosomal RNA, 664 nt
Filed under: uncultured Sebacina
Lineage: Eukaryota; Fungi; Basidiomycota; Agaricomycetes; Sebacinales; Sebacinaceae
Description: eukaryotic LSU rRNA
Rfam family: 5.8S ribosomal RNA (bases 247-400)
Source: RNAcentral